This 935-nucleotide long non-coding RNA is filed under the name Homo sapiens (human). RNAcentral describes it as "non-protein coding lnc-DRD5-10:17". The record is from RNAcentral. Lineage: Eukaryota; Metazoa; Chordata; Mammalia; Primates; Hominidae.
UGAGAAACGGAGGCCUUCAGCCAACAGCUGGGAGAAGCUGAGUCCCAUCAGCCAUUCAAAAGACUGCAGCCCCAGCCAAGAGUUUGAUGUAACCUCAGGAGAGACCCUGAGCCAGAACCACCUAGGAGAUGAUGAGCUCCUGGGCAAGACUGAGGUUUGUGUCAUUUUGCAUCCCCAGCACCGAGAAGAGUACCUGGCACUUAUUGGCCAACGAGCUAUACCUAGUGAUUCCAAAGUCCACAUAUAUUUACUCUGUUCUCACUGUACAAAGUAACCACUCUGAAGUCAAAAAAGCUGGGAUACAUGAAGACUGCCAUCCCUUGAGUCACUUGCCCUGUAGCUGCCACUGUUGGAAAAGGGCUUGCUUCUGUGUCCUUGUGCCCACUUUGAAAAUCCCUGGGAAGUCCUUGGAGUCAGAUGAGCAGGCCUCCGCCACUCUGCCAAAAAGUCUGUUCAGAAGUUUCACAUCACUAGAGAAGAGAGAAGAAGGACAUUUGUACUGGGAGGAGUCGACCGGUCCCAGUAAGGAGAAAGUAGCUACAGCGUCAUGGGUGAGCUGGGUCCCCCAAAAAGGAACUUUAAGGGAAUGGACUGAAUCAAGUCUGAGAUGUCCCCAAAGCAAGACCAAAGAACUGAGGAAGAGAAGCAUUCAUCAGAAACCAAAAUUCAGCUACAAGUGAGCAUCCAGAUGGAGGUAUUAUGAAGAGGAACUGAGACUGAGGGCAAAAGGUGCCAGCCAGAAUCCUGGAUAGGAGAGCAAGAACCAGGACCUCAUUUAAGAGACAACCUGCUUAAGGCAGAGUAAGGUGAGAUUGGAUUCACGCAAAGACCUGGAAUUCAACACAAAUGGGCACUCAACAUCAAUGAAGUAACAGCAAAGUCACAUAAUAAAAGCAUGGAAUUAAGACAAGCUGAAGAUUCGGAUGCAAUAAAAC